CACCCCCAUUUUUUCAUUUCACGUUUUUCUUGCCCUAGCUUCUUCCUUCGACAACUCUCUCUCUCUCACCUCUGGCUCUCUCACUUAAAUGGGGGCGAGCAACGAUCGGAGAUUGGCAACAGUGGCGGUGAGCAGCGAUCGAAGCCUCAAUUGGAAGUUUUGUUGCUAGGAUAUUUGAUCAUGCACUGGAAGACUCAAAUUCAAAAUCAGGCCUUGUACACUCUUUAUCUAUAUGUAUAUCUUUGUUGGAUCCAAAAAGAUCAAUUCCUUCUAUCAUUCCUUCCGAAGUCAACACAUGUACGAGUCACCUACACCUGUUAAUCCUGAGACCGUUGGUGCAAUGCUGCCCAAGCUUGAAAGUACGGGCUAGAUGACAAUACAGUUGACUUUAUUGGCCAUGCAUUGGCACUGCAUAUAGAUGAUAGUUACUUGGACCAGUGCCAUGGAUUUUGUGAAGAGAGUUAAGCUAUAUGCAGAAUCUUUAGCUCGCUUCCAGGGAGGAUCUCCUUAUAUUAUCCACUGUAUGGACUUGGAGAACUACCUCAGGCAUUUGCUCGUUUGAGUGCCAUCUAUGGUGGAACUUACAUGCUCAACAAGCCAAAAUACAAGGGCUAAAGGCAGCACCAAGUGAGUGAUUCUUUUAACUGGAGAGGGAAAAAAUGGAUCAUUCAGUUAAUGCCAAAGAUUAAAUAAAUUCUUUAAUUUCCUGCCGAGCAAUCAGAAGUUGAAACUGAUAGUUUUCAUUAUCUUUAAAUGAUUCCCAACAAGUAGCAAAAGAGGAAGAGGAUGUUAUGCAUGGAAUGAAAACAGGAUGGGUAAAAGGACAAGUGCUUAUGGAUCAUCAAAUACCUUGCAAAUUCAAGGAAAUUUACAAGAUGGCUGCACCAACAGAAGGCUAUAUAGACUAGCCAAAAACACAAAAUAAUCUGCUAUUUCUGUAAACAAGUUUGGUUGAUUUGAGGACCUGAGAUGAAUGUGUGGCAGCACCACAUAUGAUUGAUUAAGAAAUGGUUAUAAGUUGGGUUGGGCUGGGUGUUUAACAAAAUGGGUUAAGUGGGUGCUCAGGAAG
RNA transcript from Camellia sinensis, 1069 nucleotides. RefSeq lists it as uncharacterized. The record is from RefSeq and is a predicted model, not a curated record. Lineage: Eukaryota; Viridiplantae; Streptophyta; Magnoliopsida; Ericales; Theaceae.